CGGACGGGUGAGUAAUGUCUGGGAAACUGCCUGAUGGAGGGGGAUAACUACUGGAAACGGUAGCUAAUACCGCAUAACGUCGCAGGACCAAAGAGGGGGACCUUCGGGCCUCUUGCCAUCGGAUGUGCCCAGAUGGGAUUAGCUAGUAGGUGGGGUAACGGCUCACCUAGGCGACGAUCCCUAGCUGGUCUGAGAGGAUGACCAGCCACACUGGAACUGAGACACGGUCCAG
RNAcentral lists this ribosomal RNA (232 nucleotides) under uncultured bacterium. RNAcentral describes it as "partial 16S ribosomal RNA". It matches the Rfam family "Bacterial small subunit ribosomal RNA", at positions 99 to 334 of the family's 1533-position model. The record is from RNAcentral.